Molecule: ribosomal RNA, 346 nt
Filed under: Pimelionotus lugens
Lineage: Eukaryota; Metazoa; Arthropoda; Insecta; Coleoptera; Tenebrionidae
Description: partial 12S ribosomal RNA
Source: RNAcentral
UUUGAAUGUAAGUUUGUGCCCUGAUUAUUAUUAGUUAUGGUCUUGAAAAUUAAAAAAUUUGGCGGUAUUUUAGUCUGUUCAGAGGAACCUGUUUCUUAAUUGAUGAUCCACGAUAAUUUUUACUUUAGCUUUAAAUUUAUAUAUCGUUGUUUAUAAAAAUUUUAGUAGGAUGAUAAUUUUUUUGAUUUUUUAUUAAAAAUUAUUUCAGAUCAAGGUAUAGUUUAUGUUAAGGAUGACAUGGGUUACAUUAAAUUUAUUUUUGGUUUCUUUAAUUUAAAAUUUUGAAUAAAUUGGAUUUGAUAGUAAAUUAUUUAUUUUUGAUAGUUGAUUUAGCUCUAAAAUAUGC